RNAcentral lists this ribosomal RNA (505 nucleotides) under uncultured bacterium. RNAcentral's name for it is "partial 16S ribosomal RNA". It matches the Rfam family "Bacterial small subunit ribosomal RNA", at positions 28 to 507 of the family's 1533-position model. The record is from RNAcentral.
GACGAACGCUGGCGGCGUGCCUAAUACAUGCAAGUCGAACGCAAGGGAACACACUGUCCUUGCUCACCGUGUUUUCUUGAGUCGCGAACGGGUGAGUAACGCGUAGGUAACCUGCCUAUUAUCGGGGGAUAACUGUUGGAAACGAUAGCUAAUACCGCAUAAUAUUAAUUAUUCCAUGAUAAUUGAUUGAAAGUUUCAAGCGCAUCGCUAGUAGAUGGACCUGCGUUGUAUUAGCUAGUUGGUAAGGUAAGAGCUGACCAACGCGAAGAUAAAUAGCCGAACGGAGAGGGUGAGCGGCCACACCGGGACUGAGACACGGACCAGAUUCCUACGGGAGGGAGCAGUAGCGAAUAUUAGGAAAUGGAAGAAAGUGUGACCGAGAAACGCCGCGUGAGUGAAGAAGGUGUCCGGAUCGUAAAGCUCUGUCGUAAGUCAAGAAGGAGUGUGAGGGUGGAAAGGUCACACAGUGACGGUAGCUUACCAGAAAGGGACGGCUAACUACGUG